Molecule: ribosomal RNA, 360 nt
Filed under: uncultured alga
Lineage: Eukaryota
Description: eukaryotic LSU rRNA
Rfam family: 5.8S ribosomal RNA (bases 1-105)
Source: RNAcentral
GAAAUGCGAUACUUAAUGUGAAUUGCAGAAUUCCGUGAAUCAUCGAGUUUUUGAACGCAUAUUGCGCCCGAGACCUCGGUCGAGGGCAUGCCUGCCUCAGCGUCGGUUGACCCCUCUCGUCUUCGUUUCCUUGAUCGGAAGCCAGACGGACCUGGCAGUCCCGCUGGCGACAGCGGGUCUGCUGCAGACCAGACGACGCGCAGCCUCGCUUACGCAAAGGCCGCUGGAUUGGUAGGUUCCCUUUGCAGGAAACAUGCCCAUCGAGUGGCUGGGCUUGACCACUGCGCCGUUUAUAACCACAGCUUCGAUCGGGCCUACUCUCCCGAUCGUCGCUUUCUCAGUUCGACCUGAGUUCAGGCA